AUAUUCAUUACAGAAGUAUCUCUUCUCAAAAUCAAAAUAAAAGGCAGUAAAAACUCAAGUGUAGAUUUCUGAGCUGAAGGAACAACUGAAGAAGCUCUUCUUUAAUUGCAGUGGCAGCACUUGUUCCAAUCUUCUCAAAUGUUCAGCCAAUUCCACAUCAAAGAUAUUAGAUCAGAUCACAUUAUCAAUGAGAAGCUUCCUGUGUGACACGUUUCACUUCCUCACCUGUAAUCUGCCUACCCUGCUCACCAAAAGCAGUCUAACUGCAGCAUCACAGAUCCCAGUGGUAUGUCAUUUACUCCUAAGAGGGGCACACUUUGUCAUGUUUGGCACACAGCACGGGAGGAAGGAGCAGGAGCUGGACUCAGUCAGCUGCAACUGAGAACCAGAACGUAAUGUGAGAAGUUGCCUGCUGAGCAGCUGAUCUCACAGGUAGGCCUGGCAGAGUCGUGCCUUGCUUCCUAUUUAACUCACACCCAGGAAGCCUGAAUGAUCUGGAGUGCUGUCAUCAGGAUGUAUAAACGAAAGCAGGACAAUUAAAGUGGGGGCUGGCACGGGAUGGGGUGCAUAAGGGCCCAGAGCUUCUACUCACUGUUGCUGUAGCUGGUGCAGAGUGGUGAUGAGGUGCCAAGGGACGGUGUCCCCUGCAGAUGGGGGAUGUUAUCUUCUGCACUCUAUGGCGCAUAGGAGACCUGAAGCCAGACUUCACUUCCAGGGAGUGCCAGGGUGUGGCAGACUAUAGAAAUUUUUAUUUCUGAGGGUGUAUAUGUACACAAUGCUAAAGGAAGUACCCUGUUUCCCCAAAAAUAAGACAGGGUAUUAUAUUAAUUGUUAUUCCAAUUCUUAUUACUUUUUUACAUAUAUAACUGCCUGGACACUAUUUAAAUUGACUUUUUUUUUUUUUUAAUAAACUGUAACUAGGGCUUAUUUUUGGAGUAGGGCUUAUAUUUCAAGUAUCCUCAAAAAUCCUGAAAAAUUAUGCUAGGGCUUAUUAUCAGGGUAGGUCUAAUUUUCAGGGAAACAGGAUAUAUCAGCUACUAUAUAUACUUACUUUAAAUUUAGAUUUAAGAUGAAUCAUUUGGAACUUCAAGGGCUCUCCUGAAGCAUGAAGACCAGCCCCAGCUGCUAUAGAAAGCAACUGCUUCAUCAUAAUUCCUUUAACUAACUUCAAGCUAGAGCUUAAUCAGUUUAUUAAGUUUGAAUUUCCAACUCUGCCAGUGUCACUUCUCUGAUAGUAUAGAGGUGUCAUAAUUUACAACCUAAUUUACUUUAUAGACAGUUUAUAUUAGUCAUGUUCUUGUGUCAACAUUGUCCUUUACCUUAAGUAGGGCUUUUUACUUUUUUCUCCUGAACAUCAUGUAUGUAUUGUAGGUUAUGGAAAAGUGAUUUAUUUCCUCAUUUAGAUCUUCUUUUACCUUUUGUUUUGCUGGUAAAAUAAGGAAAUCCAUUUUUCUUGUUCAAAAUAAGCAUUGUUUUCCCAACAUGUUCCUAGAAACAUUAUUGUGUCAAUCUACUUCAGUAUGAACAAAUGUUUUUGCGGACAUGGGUGGCCAGUACUGUAUACAUCAUCAAUGCUUUCUACAUAAACAUUUUUUUUUCACUCAUCUCUUCUGAAAGUGCCUUUCCUGGAUGCAUCCAAUGCAAAAAUAUUUUGGAUUCCAGACUAUCAUCUAGCAGUCUUGCUACCUUACCAGUGUUCUGCAACAUGCCUACCACUCUUCUUGAUUUCUUAUCUAAAAUGUAGUUAUUGAAAAGUAGAGUAUCAAACGGAUUGCUGUGGAAACUUGCCAUUUUCAUUGAUAAUCACUGUCUGAAUGUAGCUUUCCUACCAGCUUUGCACUCAUUCUUUCUGAAAACUAGACCCUGCUUCCUAAAUUUGUUUAUGAAAUGUCAUGUCAAACGAUGUCAAAAGCCUUACUAACACCAAGAUAUUUGUCAUCCACCGUUCUUCCUUCACAAUGCCUGUUACCCUGCUACAAAAGCGAGAAAGAGUGGUCUGACACUACCUGGUUUUGGCAGAUACGUGUACACUCUUACUCAUCACCUUGUGCUCUUGUAGGGGUUCACCAAACUGUUUCAUUGUUUAUGCCAGUACUUUUUCUAGGAGAUGAACUUCAGCUACUUUUCACAGGUGAGCAGUGCAUUUUUGCUUUUCAUGUUACUGUUGAAAGUUGCAAAAACAUUAAAUACAGUUUCUAUUUCAUCUUUACUGACAUUAAGGAAAAGAAUUAGCAGCCAGAACAGAUACAUUUAGAACCUGAUGCAAAACUACCUCCCUGAUAACAGUAGGUUGUAGGAGAGAGAAGUUCAAAAAAACCCAAAAGAUUUAUUCAAGGAUGGAGACUUCAGAAAUUAGGAGUAUGGCAAAAUGUUAUUUUCCUCAAAAUUACUAUCCAGAAAGAUUUUGCAGCAGAACAUCAUUGUUUCAAAGUGAGUGCCAGAAUCUUAUGCAUACAAGAUACAAUCAGUGCAACUUUAAAAAUGCUAACUAUAAAUGCAAAUGUUAACAGUGUCAGGGCAAGACUGACAAAACUUAAUGUUAUUACUCAAAGACCUGAAAUUUGAGCAAUACGUUAGAGAGUGCAAUGUAAAAAUAUUCUUACAUUCAAUAUAAGACACAGUGGGCAAACGCACAUGUUGCAGAUUGUUAAUCACAAAGUCCUGAGAAGAAGUCAUCAGAAAUGGAUAGGAAAUCUGACACAGUCAUACAGUUGUGGAGACUUACCUCUUGCUUCACAGAGGUGAGAGGCGAUGGGUGAGGCUUAUUGCAGUACACCCAUAUCAAGCCAGUCAACAACUGCUGUAUUCACUGGAAAACAGACUGCUAGAGUACAGUGCAGAUGAAAAUUUAGAAAAACAGAUAACAGGAUCAAGAGCUUUCUGAAACGUCUCUGUGGACUCAUAACUCAAAAUGCUCUGGAAAGUGAAUUGAGGUCGUUUUAUUCAGAGAACUAACAACUAUAUAUAACAAAUUUUAGAGCAGCUAAAAUCCACCUUUCAACUCCCAGUCUUAGGAUUGUUAUAUUUUAUGUUAACGAUUUACUGCAUAAAAUCCACAAAGAAGGUUAGGUAGGAAUUAGGAUCCACGAUUCACUAUCAAUUCACUAAUGAGAUAAUUCAAACUACUUGCCUACCAACUCAUACUCUCUCUCACUCAGUGAAUUUUAAAUUAAUUUAUCUGCUCAUGGUGUUGCAAAAGGAGAACUCACAUUUAAUCCUUAUAUCACAGCCAUAGACUCAAUGUUGAAUUUUCUUCCUAAGGAGGAAAAGCUGAGUUUGCUAUUUCUUGAGGAGAUGAACUAGUCACAGUCAUCUAUGAAAAGCUGAUGCCAUAAAGACAAUUUUUAUGUAAAGCACUGGCUGCAAUUGUAUCCACAUUUAUUGCUUGUGCCCAGAGCAUGUUCAAUAAAUCAAUUCCCUCAAGAAGACCGGGCAUAUAAUGCUGAUCAGGAUUAGGUACAAGGUAAAUUGUUGUGCUGUACACAGAGGGGUUUAGGGAGCUUGAAGCUGAUGGCAGCUGAAGAGAGGUUUUCUUGUUUGUAGUUUGUGUUUAUCAUUGUGAUUACACUUUAAAAGUCGUAUUCUGUGUAACCUUUAGUGAAAAUAAUUUAACUUUCAUUUACGUCUCCUACAUGUAAACUGUUUAAGGCUGCCUACAAACAACAAGAGUUCACCAGUCUUGAUGUAAGAUUGCUGUUGUGCUAAAAAAAUCAUUUAGAUCAGCUGUGUUUGUGUGACGGUACCAGUAACUGCAGUAGGGCAGCAGCUUCAGGGGUCCAUAAGUCCAGGUGCCAGCAACUGGAGAGACUGGGAUCCAGGGGCAGGUGCUGAGCAGAGUGAGUAAACGCAGCUGCUGGAGAGACACAGACUGUACACAUGUAUAAAUAUUUCUCACUCCUGGACUUGACCUCCAGAAAGAGGAACAGGAUGAGGGUGUUGGUGUUCCUGUGCUUGUCUGGGUGCUCUGUGUGUCUGCCUGAUCUGUGGUUGACCAUGUAUAUGUAUAUGCGCAUAUGUGUAUAUAUGUUUAUACGUAUGUAUGUAUACACGCAGGUAUCUGUAGUAUAAAUAUGUGUUCUGUGUGUGCACACCUGCUGGGAACACAUCUUCAGCCUUGCCACUGUUUGGACCUGAAGACAUGGACUGGACGCAGCCUCGCCCCUCAGGCUGUUGGAUCCAACAUCUGUUUUCCUCUAACAGUUCCAAAACUUAAAUUUCUCUUAGAAGUUCCUUACCAAAAAAAAAAAAAAAAAAAAAAGUAAGGAAAAUAUUAUAAUGAAAUAGUGUUUAUUGCUUGUUUGUUUAAAUUGUUUUUCUUUUUAAUAAGUCAGUUAAUUGUGGCUACAUUGCUUGUCUGACCAUGGCGUUCCCUAAGGCAAAGAAAAUAAGCUAAUGUAGCUAAAAUAAUGGUGCCUCAACCCUGGAUUUGCAUUAACAGAGAGUUGUAAAAUACGUUUUAUUCAUUUUUUUUCCAGACCAGUAAUUUUUGAAACCAACUAUUACUUGGCACCCAACAAAAACAUAUCAGCUGUUUCUUUCAAGACCAUCUUAAGCACCAUCAGUGCCUUUGUAAUGCAAGAAGGGGGAGAAACAGUCCUCCAUUUAGUUAAUUUUUCAGCUGCAUUAGUCAGUUGCACUUGUAGAGAUUUCUUAUUGAAAAAGAAAACUAAUAGCAUUUUUUUCUUUGAAUUGUGUUAAUGAAAUAUUAGAUUUUGCUAAAUUUUUGAUGUUAUUUUUUUCAGUGUUGCACAGAAAUAAUAGAAUUAAAGUAAAAGUCAGAUAAUUUGAUAGUCUACUUCUACUAUUUUGAAAUAUUAAUAUAUUGUUGUUGAACUAUUAUAUGUAAUUUGAUUUUUUUUUUCUCCCAGUAGAGGAAGGAAAAUUAUUACAAUAUAUUGCACUGUAACUGAAAUAUUGCAGGUCAUUUUUAUCAUUUAUGCCACCAUUUUAACUUGUACAUGCUAUGAUCACAAUAGAUUAUAUGAGAAGAGCAGAGACUUCAUGGAAACCUUUGAGCAUAUUCGGAUCUCAAGAGUGUCACAAAAAAUUUGGAAGUCCAAGAGAACCAGUUGUGUAACAAGAGCUCAAGGAACAGUAUAUUAUUAGAAUAACAGAUAAAAUAUUGAAUAUUCAAAGCACAAAUCUGAAUCUCAAAAAUAUACCAUAUGAUCCUGGUGUAUCCCAGGAGGUGGAUCUGAGCUGGUGCCCAUGGAGCCAGGCUGAGAAGUUUUGUGACACACUCCCCACUGCAUCUGAUUCCUGAAGAGUUUAUGAGAUUUGACAGAGUUCCACAAAACUGGAUAGAUGAAGACUGCCAUGAUCACAAGGUGCUCUGCUUGAACAAAUGAGUCUUCGCAGAACUGAUCAGGCCAAGUACUUAACCUCUGAGCCUACAGACAGUCCCAUGAGCACUCUGGAGGUGGAGAAGACAGGGUGAAGGGCAGUGCAACUCUGCAAAAUCAUGGUAUUGUAGGCUCUGCAGGUGAAAUUCUCCUUUACAGACAAUGGGAGCAGCUUGAAAUAAACCUGACCAAUAAUUUUGACUGCAUCUUAUUACCUCAUAUUGUGCCUAUUUUUCUUCAUUAACUAAAGAAGUGGCUUGUUACAAUCUGCUCACCUUGGAUUACUGGAUUUAUGUGGGAGGAAUCCCAUUCUUGGAAUCCUGCAGAGGUACUGAAAGACUGUAUCAAGGACCAGUAUGCUUGCAUUGGGUACAUGCCCAGAGAUACGAAUGGCAAUUAACAGAAGGCUGAGGAAAGAAAAAGCAUGAAACUGUUGCUUGUGCUGCACUGUCAGCAGCAAGAUGACCAAAGAUAUGAAUGAAGUAUGAUGCCACCAGACGAGCUUCUAUGGAUUUUUCUUUGCAAAAUGAAGGAUGAUCAAUACCUCACAUCUUGAUCAGCAUCACAGUAUAAGACUGCAUGGCUGUUGCAGAAGAGAUGGCAAAUAUUCCAUAACUAGCAUGAGAGGUGAUUCAGCGCAGGCUGGAGUGAUGAAAACUGCCAUCCAAGGUGGAAAAAGCACAUUUUGAUAGCUGUGAUGGCUGUGUGGAAACCAAGUGUCAGAGCAGUAAAACAGCCCUGGAACCACAAAGGAAGAGAAAGAAGUCAAGAACAAUCACAACACUCAUUGAAAGUACAGAAGGUAUCCCAGCAACUUGCAAUCCAGAGGAUGGAGUCUGCAUCACUACCUGAUUCUCCAGGUGACUUGAAUUCCAGUUUACUGCCUUAGCCCAAGAAAGAAGAAAUAUGAAUACAAGAUUAUGUGCUUUUGGUCUGUAACUUAUUUAGCACUCUCCCUUUGGACAUGGUCUGGAAUCUUUUCCCUGUGAAAACAAUAAACAGUCUCUGAAAGAAGCUGUUACUUGAAAUUCAGACCUAACUGGAAGAAACUCAAGACAAUUCAGAGAAAGGAAGUCUGAGUUUUGCUGACAUAAUGAAAAAAAUAUUUUCAGGCAUUAACAAUGUGGAUGCUUGUAAAAUGAUCAGUUUGGGUCAUUCUAGGAAAUAUUUUACUGACUUAAAAUCUUAUCUUACAGACUAGGAACAUAUGCAUGUGUUCCUUAGAUGACAAAGGUGAAAAAAUAGAAGUCCUCACACUGGAUCUGCACCAGAAAAAAACAGCACAAAACCACAUCUGAAGUAGUGAUUUUCAGGGUCUGAGUUAAAAGGAAAAGACCUAACCUUCUCAGUAGCUAAGUGUACUAUGUUGAUUGCCCAGAUGAUUCAGGCAGCAGUCAUCUGUGGCUCUGCCUAUCUAUGCAGUUACCUGCACAGUAUUGUGAGUGUACUGAGUCUCCAGGUUCAGCUCUGCAACAACAGACAAAGACAACUGCGCAGUGUAAAUGUUACCAAAUUCAACCUGCAGCCCUCAGUGAAAAUCCCAUGGUCACAAAUCUUGGCUGCUAAUGUUGAAAUGGUCCCAGUCAAAAGAAAAAUGGUGUUGCUGUUCUCCUUUCUUACCAAGGUAAAUAAUACAUUAUACCUUCAACCUCACAUACUGUGACUCGAUGAAGGACUCAUAGACAGUGCUCUCUCCUCAGUGCUGGCAAAGGAAGCGAUUCACAUGUCCACAACUGGAAGAGGGAGACCACGAGACAUAUUAAAAAAAAAAUGUAUUGUUCUAUAGUUUUCUUAUAUGGGACAUGGGAAUCAAUUCCAUAAUGAGAGUUACAGCCCUUUAUGAUACCACUCCCAUUUUUACUUAUUGGCUUAUCCUUCCCCCUGAUUCAUAUUGCACAUCACUGAUAUCUCUGAAGAGUUACAAACUCACAUUUGUGUAUCCCAAGAGAAGGAAAGAUGGACACUGUGAGGAGGACCAAGUGGUUUGAUUACUAGUAGACAAGUAUAGAAACUGAAUCCUGCCUUUUACAGUGGAGAGAUGUUAUGUUGCUUCUGAUCAUUUAUCAACACCAAACAUUGAUCAAUAUCAACAACUAUCAACACUAAAGCACUUGGGAAGUAGAUGAUGCAGGUUCACUCACAAGCAAAACAGCUAAAAUAACGAGAUAGUCUAGAAUAGAUCUCCAUCAAUAAAGGUUUGUAUUUUGCAUAGUUCCCUACCAUUGUGCUAUUAUUAAACACUGUUUCAAUUUUAUUGAUUUUUUUUUCCUGAUUUGUCUUAUUAAACUGCUCAUUGAUGGUCUUGUAGUCCCUAAUUUUAAAACAGCUUGAAAGUUACUUGCCAUGCAACAAACUGUGUUUCCAAAUUCUCAGGUUGUAUUACUCAUGCAUAUAGAAACUUCCUGGCUGGUAUCAAAUCAGCUCUCAUAUAUAUAAAUAAAUAUACAUGCAUGUGUGUAAAUAUAUGGCUGUGAGAGAUUAUUUGGAUAUAUCUGUGCAUAUUUCUAUAUUUAAUUUUUAGUUUAACGCAACUCAGUUACUAUUGAAAGUAUCAUUGCCAACUUAAAGGAACAGCUGAAUGUACCAGUGAAGGCUGGACAUUCAAGACCAUAUAUAACUUAUGUUUUUUCUCUGUGAUCAUGUAGAGAAAGUAGAAGAGAGGAAGCAGAGGAGAGAAAGCACUUUUUUAUCUUCAUUCAAUAGUGAGAAUGUCAGAGACGAGGAUGGUUAUAUGAAAAUAUACUUUUUUUCCCAGAGUAAAAGAGAAACAAACCUGUUUUACUGAUAAAACAGCACCAUUUUCUGUGUUUUGCAAUGUAACAUGACAUGAAAAAUAUAAAAUUUACUGGUCUAGUUCAACUGCUUUCUUUUAUGACAGACAACCAUGGAACAAGCCUACAUGAACGUUGCAUUACCUAUUGCAAGAAACCUUUAGGAUUGCUAAUUUAGUUGCUACUUCACUUGUUAAUCAGAAAGCUGGGUUACAGCACACGUAAGUUGCAAUGAUGGGUGAGCUGUUCUGCCAAAGAGAGGAAGAUAACGAAAUGCCCAAAGUCACUGGUAUAAAUACCAUAGAGGUACAAAACCUCCUUGAUUGGGAGCUCAUCCCGAAAGGUAAUAGAGACUAGAUCUGCGAUCCAGGACAUGAGGAAUAAACAGUCCAGAUAUAUACCCUAAAGAAAAUCUCACUGAGUGAGAGUGGAGCCUUUCUCAGGAGGGCGGGUAUGUUCAAAAAUUAGUAAUCCAAAUAACUUCUACAAAAGAAAAGGCAAUAUAGUACAUGUUUUACCUUUUUAAAGUUUCUUUAGAGAUCAUGCAACUUCCCUUUACAUCCUUUUUAUAAUAUCUUCCCCUCUAGAGAGGGAGAUAUGGUGAAUGUCUGUAGGCUGAAAGAAAAUAAAUGCCAUUUGAAGUAGAAUUUUAUUUUAACAACAUACACUAUCUAUCAAAGGUACAUUCACAAAAAGGAGAAAAACAUAAGCAAGCAAAUAAUAUUCCCAAAUGCCUACUUUUUACAAUGCAGAUAGAAUUUAUGGCAACAUAAAUCUAUGCAGUAGAAACAUAAAUUAUACACAUAGUGCCCAAUAUCAAAGCUUUUAGAGAAGACAUAUAGGAAAUUUGGAAUGAACUAUUUAGUAAUUGGUCAUUCAAACUAUAUAAAUUUUAGGAAAAAAAAAAUACAUCUGAUGUAAUCAAAACUAAUACCCCUUGAUUUUCCAGUCCAAGAUCCUGGCUCAGAAAAAGUUAUUUUCAUACUUGGAUUUCUUUACUUAAUGUAGUGGUGGAAAGAUAUGAAAGUGGUCUGCUGCUGGCUAAGGAUGUUCUGGGUUUGGGGAUUUUCUUGGCCUGGAAGUGGACAGAGGUGAUGGUACAGAUUGUGGCUGGUACUAGUAUGGACUUCCAUUUGUUGUCUGACAUACCUUUUAUGUACAAAAACAUAAUGUAUGGAUAGCUCGGUGUUUGUUUGCUGUAAUAAUUACUUGCACUGAGUAUUUAGUUUUCAUAAUUAUUUUCAUUGUAUUCAUUACUCCUGAAUAAAUUUUUAUUUUGUGAACAUAACAAUCUGUUUACUUUGUAUUUCAAGGCAGGCACACACCCUUCCAAAUAAGUACCAGCCUUAAGAAACAUUUGUUUAAAGUUGCCAUCACUCCAUUUAUAAAAAUCACAGUUUAACAAAGAGCAAAUGCUUGUGUGAUUACGGCAAACUCUCCAGAUGUGCUUCUUUGAGCUGCACCAGAGCAGAGAUUCUUUCAUGAUCUCAUGUUGCUUCUAUCCUCUUCACUAACAUAUUUUGCUUUGUAACUAUUGUAGAAAAUAAAA
Molecule: long non-coding RNA, 9662 nt
Organism: Columba livia (rock pigeon)
Lineage: Eukaryota; Metazoa; Chordata; Aves; Columbiformes; Columbidae
Exons: 7
Source: RefSeq, a predicted model, not a curated record